UACGAAGGGGGCGAGCGUUGUUCGGAUUUACUGGGCGUAAAGGGCGCGCAGGCGGCUCAUUUUGUCAGGCGUGAAAGCCCCGGGCUUAACCUGGGAACUGCGUUUGAUACGGAUGGGCUAGAGUUCGGGAGAGGAGAGUGGAAUUCCCAGUGUAGAGGUGAAAUUCGUAGAUAUUGGGAAGAACACCAGUGGCGAAGGCGGCUCACUGGCCCGGUACUGACGCUGAGGUGCGAAAGCGUGGGGAGCAAACAGG
Molecule: ribosomal RNA, 253 nt
Filed under: uncultured bacterium
Lineage: Bacteria
Description: partial 16S ribosomal RNA
Rfam family: Bacterial small subunit ribosomal RNA
Source: RNAcentral